UUGGUGCUUCCGGUGCAAUUUUCGGAUUGGUAAGUCUGUUGGAACCAUAAGCCUUUCUUCUCAUACAAAAUGAAGUUUGUUAAAUGAUAACCUCUUUUCCUUUUUGUAGGUUGGCUCGGUAGCUGUAUUUGUCAUGAGACACAAACAAAUGGUCAGAGGUGGGAAUGAAGAUCUGAUGCAGAUAGCUCAAGUUAUUGCCUUAAACAUGGUAAGUAAUAGAAUUUUUUUUAAUUUUUAUUAUUCUUUCUCAAGGUCUAACAAGCUUUGACUAUGCAGACAUUGGGUUUAGUGUCAAGAGGCAUAGAUAACUGGGGACAUGUAAGUAACCAAAUCAUGCCUUAAAAAUUUAUUAAACAGUAGUAGAUGUCUGAGAAAUAACAUCUCUGGUGAAUUUCAGAUUGGUGGCUUACUUGGUGGAACCGCAAUGGCAUGGCUUGUAGGACCACAGUGGAAGUAUGAGUACACAACAAGAGACGGUCGGAGAGUCUUCGUGGACAGGGCUCCAAUGCCACUCUUUUUGCGGUGGAGAAAUGAACGGGGACGAAGCUGAACAGUU
This 556-nucleotide long non-coding RNA is filed under the name Brassica napus (rape). RNAcentral describes it as "long non-coding RNA (BNAP_LNC007130)". Lineage: Eukaryota; Viridiplantae; Streptophyta; Magnoliopsida; Brassicales; Brassicaceae. The record is from RNAcentral.